AACGAACGCUGGCGGCAGGCUUAACACAUGCAAGUCGAACGCCCCGCAAGGGGAGUGGCAGACGGGUGAGUAACGCGUGGGAAUCUACCUUUUGCUACGGGAUAGCUCCGGGAAACUGGAAUUAAUACCGUAUGUGCCCUUCGGGAGAAAGAUUUAUCGGCAAAGGAUGAGCCCGCGUUGGAUUAGCUAGUUGGUGGGGUAAAGGCCUACCAAGGCGACGAUCCAUAGCUGGUCUAAGAGGAUGAUCAGCCACAUUGGGACUGAGACACGGCCCAAACUCCUACGGGAGGCAGCAGUGGGGAAUAUUGGACAAUGGGCGCAAGCCUGAUCCAGCCAUGCCGCGUGAGUGAUGAAGGCCCUAGGGUUGUAAAGCUCUUUCAGUGGGGACGAUAAUGACGGUACCCACAGAAGAAGCCCCGGCUAACUUCGUGCCAGCAGCCGCAGUAA
RNAcentral lists this ribosomal RNA (447 nucleotides) under uncultured bacterium. RNAcentral's name for it is "partial 16S ribosomal RNA". It matches the Rfam family "Bacterial small subunit ribosomal RNA", at positions 29 to 523 of the family's 1533-position model. The record is from RNAcentral.